GACGAACGCUGGCGGCGUGCUUAACACAUGCAAGUCGAACGGAAAGGCCCUGCUUUUGUGGGGUGCUCGAGUGGCGAACGGGUGAGUAACACGUGAGUAACCUGCCCUUGACUUUGGGAUAACUUCAGGAAACUGGGGCUAAUACCGGAUAGGAGCUCCUGCUGCAUGGUGGGGGUUGGAAAGUUUCGGCGGUUGGGGAUGGACUCGCGGCUUAUCAGCUUGUUGGUGGGGUAGUGGCUUACCAAGGCUUUGACGGGUAGCCGGCCUGAGAGGGUGACCGGCCACAUUGGGACUGAGAUACGGCCCAGACUCCUACGGGAGGCAGCAGUGGGGAAUAUUGCACAAUGGGCGGAAGCCUGAUGCAGCAACGCCGCGUGCGGGAUGACGGCCUUCGGGUUGUAAACCGCUUUCGCCUGUGACGAAGCGUGAGUGACGGUAAUGGGUAAAGAAGCACCGGCUAACUACGUGCCAGCAGCCGCGGUGAUACGUAGGGUGCGAGCGUUGUCCGGAUUUAUUGGGCGUAAAGGGCUCGUGGGUGGUUGAUCGCGUCGGAAGUGUAAUCUUGGGGCUUAACCCUGAGCGUGCUUUCGAUACGGGUUGACUUGAGGAAGGUAGGGGAGAAUGGAAUUCCCGGUGGAGCGGUGGAAUGCGCAGAUAUCAGGAGGAACACCAGUGGCGAAGGCGGUUCUCUGGGCCUUUCCUGACGCUGAGGAGCGAAAGCGUGGGGAGCGAACAGGCUUAGAUACCCUGGUAGUCCACGCUGUAAACGGUGGGUACUAGGUGUGGGGUCCAUUCCACGGGUUCCGUGCCGUAGCUAACGCUUUAAGUACCCCGCCUGGGGAGUACGGCCGCAAGGCUAAAACUCAAAGGAAUUGACGGGGCCCCGCACAAGCGGCGGAGCAUGCGGAUUAAUUCGAUGCAACGCGUAGAACCUUACCUGGGUUUGACAUGGAUCGGGAGCGCUCAGAGAUGGGUGUGCCUCUUUUGGGGUCGGUUCACAGGUGGUGCAUGGCUGUCGUCAGCUCGUGUCGUGAGAUGUUGGGUUAAGUCCCGCAACGAGCGCAACCCUUGUUCACUGUUGCCAGCACGUUAUGGUGGGGACUCAGUGGAGACCGCCGGGGUCAACUCGGAGGAAGGUGGGGAUGACGUCAAGUCAUCAUGCCCCUUAUGUCCAGGGCUUCACGCAUGCUACAAUGGCUGGUACAGAGAGUGGCGAGCCUGUGAGGGUGAGCGAAUCUCGGAAAGCCGGUCUCAGUUCGGAUUGGGGUCUGCAACUCGACCUCAUGAAGUCGGAGUCGCUAGUAAUCGCAGAUCAGCAACGCUGCGGUGAAUACGUUCCCGGG
This 1343-nucleotide ribosomal RNA is filed under the name uncultured bacterium. Its description in RNAcentral is "16S ribosomal RNA". It matches the Rfam family "Bacterial small subunit ribosomal RNA", at positions 28 to 1378 of the family's 1533-position model. The record is from RNAcentral.